Paramuricea clavata is the source of this 940-nucleotide non-coding RNA. NCBI's taxonomy places the organism in Eukaryota, Metazoa, Cnidaria, Anthozoa, Malacalcyonacea, Plexauridae. The record is from the annotation of a GenBank genome assembly.
CACCAAGUAAUCAAAAAUUAAUUAAAAAAUGCUUAUAGUUUGAUCAACAUUGAAUUAUCCAUUAAUUAACUUGAGCAACUAAAGUAUUAUUAAUCCAUGUAAAGUUAUAGGACUUUCUCUAAGUACUAUGCACGGUUAAUUCUCUAAGUUAACGGACCGAUCCAAGAAAGUACUCGACCGCCCUCUCCCCCCCACCGCACCCCAUCCCACCCGGCUCAGAAGAAGACUUGAUAUAUUACCAUUAUACAACGUAGAGAUCUUUGUAUGGGCCUCACAAUACUAUCCAAAUUAUAGUGAAUAGCAAGACGCUUAUAUUACUUCACAAAAAUUCCUUAAAUAUUUAAUCCUUGCCCCCACACCUCUGGGAAUUAAAUUCUCCACCCCCCUCCCCUCAGCUAUUGUGGCGCACAUAACAUGAUUUCGAAUAACUUCGAGCUGCUGGCAUCUAAGUUUUCUUAAUUUCUAAUAUAAUCGUCUACCAAAUAUAUACUGAUACUUUUUGUAUCUCUCCCCCAUUUCUUUUAUAUCUCCCCCCCCUGGUCGACUUGGCAGAACUGUACCAUUCUACAUGUGAACAAUAACUCGAAUAGUAUCAUCUACAGUGACUACUACACAUGCACACAAAAUGAUUUCAAAAAAACUUCGAGAUGCUUUUAACUAAGUCUUAUCAAUUUUUAAGACAAUCGUCCACAAAAUAUAUUGAGACUUUUUAAAUCAAUCCCCUCCCCCCUUAUUUCAAUGUUGAAACCUACUGUACUUAUCCAAAACGAACAUAAGGUGACACUAGAACCGCAACUGUGUCACUGGCAGUUGAAAUUUAACAUAUGAUGUUGGAAUUAAACUAUAUUGUAGUGCCUAACAACAUUGAAAUCGGGGGAGGGGGUUUGUCUCAAAUAUUUUGUGGACGAUUGUCUGAAAAUUGGGGAAAAUCGAGCACAGG